UUGCAUGAUGAAAACAUUUUACACAGACCUGUUCUGAAUAAAAUUGAGGACAACCAUUUAUUGCCUAUUACUUCUGAAA
Molecule: small nucleolar RNA, 79 nt
Filed under: Neocallimastix californiae
Lineage: Eukaryota; Fungi; Neocallimastigomycota; Neocallimastigomycetes; Neocallimastigales; Neocallimastigaceae
Description: Small nucleolar RNA snR56
Rfam family: Small nucleolar RNA snR56
Source: Rfam by way of RNAcentral